GCUUCAAGCAGAGUGGGUACACCUCUUCCCAUUCCGAACAGAGAAGUUAAGCACUCUAGCAUCGAUGAUACUUGCGGCUAACAGCCGUCGGGAAAGUAGACCGGCGCCAACA
Molecule: ribosomal RNA, 112 nt
Filed under: Candidatus Berkelbacteria bacterium
Lineage: Bacteria; Candidatus Berkelbacteria
Source: RNAcentral